Molecule: RNA transcript, 2310 nt
Organism: Lates calcarifer (barramundi perch)
Lineage: Eukaryota; Metazoa; Chordata; Actinopteri; Centropomidae
Gene: prkag3b
Gene name: protein kinase, AMP-activated, gamma 3b non-catalytic subunit
Exons: 14
Source: RefSeq, a predicted model, not a curated record
UGAAACAUCAGUGUUAAUAGUCCUGUCAGCCAGGGCUCAACUGAAUGAUGCUGCCACCUGAAGUCCUCACCAUGGAUGAUAAAGAGGUGCUUGUAAUGCCUUUCACCACACAAACAUGUAGUGUCUCUGUCUGUUUCUAGCCCCCUGAGCUUUCCUUGUACAUGUUUUCCCCUCCCACUGUCCCUCCUCUCCCUCUCUCUCUUUGUGAAUGCCACAGGCCUCUCACCCCUCAGUCCAGAUUUAGACCUCAGUCUUUCCCAGACAUUCAGACCCAGCUGUCUGAAGCUGGCUGGUGGUGCACAGAUUCCCUUUUCUCCCUUGUUCUCUGUGUCCAAUUCUUCUUUCUUCUCUUCCUCUCCUCCUCUGUCCUUCUUCACUAUGCCUGGACUCUGGCACCACUACCAUAUCUGACAUGGUAGCAGAUCUUCACAGAUGUUUCAGGUGAACAGUAUGUCGGAGUGUUGUAAUCUUUUGUUUUGAUGCCCAAGAUUUCGCCAGUCGGUCUGGUUCCACAGAGGCAGACGUCCUGCUCCUCUUCCCCAGCAAUGGAGCCUCUUCCAGAGGUUCCGUUAUUUGAGAUGGACCAGGAAGAGGAUGAAGAGGAAGAUGUCCUUUCAAUGAAGAACAGAGGUGGCUGUAUAUAUGCAAAACAUGCUUUUGCAGGCCCAGACCCUGACACUUUCAUAUACACAAAUUUCAUGAAGAGUCACUGCUGCUACGAUGCCAUCCCUACCAGCUCCAAGCUGGUCAUCUUUGACACAACACUACAGGUGAAGAAAGCUUUUUUUGCUCUGGUGGCUAAUGGUGUGAGAGCAGCACCGUUGUGGGACAGCAAGCUUCAGUGUUUUGUGGGUAUGCUGACCAUCACUGACUUCAUCAACAUUCUCCAUCGUUACUACAAAUCUCCUCUGGUUCAGAUCUAUGAGCUUGAAGAACACAAGAUAGAGACAUGGAGAGAGAUCUAUCUACAGUACUCCAUUAACAGACUGAUCAGCAUCACUCCUGACUCCAGUCUGUUUGAGGCCAUCUACUCCCUGUUGAAGAAUAAGAUCCACAGGCUACCGGUCAUUGACCCAGCAUCGGGAAACGUCCUUCAUAUCCUCACUCACAAACGCAUCCUCAAGUUCCUCCACAUCUUUGGAUCCAUGAUACCUAAACCCAGGUUUCUUCAAAAGCAGAUCAAUGAAGUGGCGAUCGGUACCUUUAAACAGAUUGCAACAGUCCAGGAAUCAGCCUCUGUGUAUGAUGCUCUGACCAUUUUUGUAGAAAGAAGAGUGUCAGCUCUGCCUGUGGUCAAUGAGCAAGGUAAAGUGGUGGCAUUGUACUCCAGGUUUGAUGUCAUUAACCUCGCAGCUCAGAAAAACUACAACAACCUGAACAUGACAAUGCAGGAGGCAAUUGCCUCCAGAGCCUGCUGUGUGGAAGGAGUCCUCAAGUGUUACCCUUAUGAAACACUUGAGACCAUCAUUGACCGCAUUGCGAAGGCUGAGGUCCAUCGUUUGGUGUUGGUUGACAGUGACGAUGUGGUGAGAGGGAUUGUUUCUUUAUCUGACCUCCUUCAAGCGCUGGUCCUCACUCCUGCAGCCAAGCAAAUCUUCUAAAACCUCGUCUGAACUUCGCACCAAUCAGCUGCUCACCUCGUCAUUCUAUGAAGUCCAACACCAACCCUCCACACUUUCAAACAUACCUCUUUCAUCAGUCAGCCAGCAUCUUCGUACUGCAGUUCCUCCUCUGAAACCACCAUGCCACCAGCACCUCUUAUCCAACACAACUCAGAUAUUUAUGAGAGAUAAUCCUUUCAAGACAAUGAUCAAGUAAAACAAGAUUAUGAUCAUGAGGUGGCAGAGCAGGACUGUGGCAAAGAAGACACUGGUUUCAGUCCCAGUCUAGAGGAAAAAUAUGGGAGGGAAAAGUGAAAGCAGAAACACUUUGACCCUCCUCUAUGAGCUCCAAUGACAUGCUCUUUAUGGAGCACUUUAUUUCCAAGUGAUGUGGCUCAGUGGUUGCCAGUGGAAGACCGUGUUGAACUAUAUCAUGGUGUCUGCAGAACAGCAGCAAACUGAUGAUGGCUUUUGACUUAAAAAUCAAAUUUGCUGUUACUUGUAAAUUGAGUUGCUGAUACAUGAUUUUUUUUUUGGUUAAAAAAGUGAUGUCACGUUUAAUGAUUUGUACUUAACUUUGUGGUCUUUUACUAAUUAUUCAUACAUAGAAAAUAUUGGAUCAUGGACUUCAGGUGACAUUUUUGUAAAUGCACUUAUGCUCCAGUCCCUGUGGAAAAAAUAAAUAAAUGUUUUGCUCUGUUCUCAGUCA